GACGAACGCUGGCGGCGUGCUUAACACAUGCAAGUCGAACGGAAAGGCCCUGCUUUUGUGGGGUGCUCGAGUGGCGAACGGGUGAGUAACACGUGAGUAACCUGCCCUUGACUUUGGGAUAACUUCAGGAAACUGGGGCUAAUACCGGAUAGGAGCUCCUGCUGCAUGGUGGGGGUUGGAAAGUUUCGGCGGUUGGGGAUGGACUCGCGGCUUAUCAGCUUGUUGGUGGGGUAGUGGCUUACCAAGGCUUUGACGGGUAGCCGGCCUGAGAGGGUGACCGGCCACAUUGGGACUGAGAUACGGCCCAGACUCCUACGGGAGGCAGCAGUGGGGAAUAGUGCACAAUGGGCGGAAGCCUGAUGCAGCAACGCCGCGUGCGGGAUGACGGCCUUCGGGUUGUAUACCGCUUUCGCCUGUGACGAAGCGUGAGUGACGGUAAUGGGUAAAGAAGCACCGGCUAACUACGUG
RNAcentral lists this ribosomal RNA (468 nucleotides) under uncultured bacterium. Its description in RNAcentral is "partial 16S ribosomal RNA". It matches the Rfam family "Bacterial small subunit ribosomal RNA", at positions 28 to 507 of the family's 1533-position model. The record is from RNAcentral.